AGGACAAACGCUGGCGGGGUGCAUGAGACAUGCAAGUCGAACGAGGUGCCAUCGGGCUUGCUCGAUGGUUACCUAGUGGCGGACGGCUGAGUAACGCGUAGGUGACCUACCCGGAAGUGGGGAAUAACUGCCCGAAAGGGUGGCUAAUACCGCAUGUGGUCGGCGAUUCGAUUCGCCGUCUAAAGGAGCAAUUCGCUUCCGGAGGGGCCUGCGUCCGAUUAGCUAGUUGGUGGGGUAACGGCUCACCAAGGCGACGAUCGGUAGCUGGUCUGAGAGGAUGAUCAGCCAGACUGGGACUGAGAACGGCCCAGACUCCUACGGGAGGCAGCAGUCGGGAAUUUUGCCCAAUGGACGAAAGUCUGAGGCAGCAACUCCGCGUGAGGGAUGAAGGCUCUCGGGUCGUAAACCUCUUUUCUCAGGGAAGAUCCAAGACGGUACCUGAGGAAUAAGCGACGGCUAACUACGUGCCAGCAGCCGC
This 478-nucleotide ribosomal RNA is filed under the name uncultured bacterium. Its description in RNAcentral is "SSU rRNA". It matches the Rfam family "Bacterial small subunit ribosomal RNA", at positions 26 to 518 of the family's 1533-position model. The record is from RNAcentral.